This 617-nucleotide long non-coding RNA is filed under the name Panax ginseng (ginseng). RNAcentral describes it as "long non-coding RNA (PGIN_LNC002492)". Lineage: Eukaryota; Viridiplantae; Streptophyta; Magnoliopsida; Apiales; Araliaceae. The record is from RNAcentral.
GACGUUUACGUCGUGCAUGCGAGUCUACCAAGACACGUUCACUAUUACGCUCUUUUUUCACCGGAUUACACAAAAAAAUAUAAAAGGAGGUGCAACACGAAGACUUCCCAAGGGGUCACUGAUGCGGUUGAAGAGCAAGCGUGUCAGUUUUAUGGAAAGAUUUUGAUAGAUGGUGGAAAGAUUUGAUCCAGUGGCAAUUUGGUAGUUUUUGCCAAGUUUGGAGUGCCGGAUUUUCGCGUUUUCGGAGCCUAAUUUCAUUGGAAACGGGUCAACGAUCAAAAGUCACCAGCGCUGCGCUCGUGAGCUGCAGGGUUUUUUGGUCAAAUUUUAUCGUUUGGGCCUCUAAAAGUACAUUUUAUUGUUUUCGGGUUAUUUUUGUAAUUUUCCCUAUUAGUUUUUCUUUUCCGUUUUGGAUUCCGCUUUUAGGGUUUUUGCUAUCGAAACGUUUUUUUACGAUGGGAUGCAACAGUUUUGGUAAACUAGUGCUGGUAUGAUCGCACCCGUUAGGAUUCUCCAUUUUUAUUCCUAUAUUCCCACAUAUGGGUGGAACGCAGUGACGCUUACGUCGUGCAUGCGAGUUUACCAAGACACGUUCACUAGUACGCUCUUUCUUCACC